UCUGCUAAUAUUUCUCUAUGGAGUUGUGCAGCUGGUUGUAGGAACAAAAUAUAAAUAUUGCAUGUUACACUAAGAGGAAAUGAAACAUAUCAGUUGUAAGCACUUAUUACUAUGGCCUACAGCUGUCUGUUUCUAAUUUUUGAGGUAAUUUUUAAUUACCUAAAUGUACUCAUGGUGUAUUUUAAACUGUACUGCUGCAAACAUUGUUUGCCGAGAAUAGAGCUUGCGUAUCAUCUCCUAUACAGCUCUGCCUGAGUCUCUCACAGGUUGCAGCCGUGAAGAGCUGGCCUAGGCUGGGUGUCCCUGGUAGGGACCUAUCUGCCAUCGCAGGUCUUCUCACUGUGAACUGCCUGCUGUCCGUCCCCUCCUCCCGUGGACCUGCUGUCCUGCCUGUUUUCCUUGUGGUCUUACCGCUCCAAUCUGUCUGUCCUCGUGUGGUCUUCCCAUCUCUGGGGAGGGCAUGUGUUCUGCUUCUUUCUUUCGUCGGAGUCGCAUCCCAGACACAUGUCCCGUGUGCCGCCUGAGCCCCAUGCUCCCGGUAAGAGUCACUUCCUUCUAAAGGUAAUGCAGUCCCUCUGAUCUGUCCCUCAUGGGUCACACACUGCCCCCAAGUUUAGGGCCUGUGAGAGUCAACUUAAGAUUCAAACAAAUAAAACAGCACCCACCAAUGUGCUUCUUGUGAGCAUUAAAGGAAACAGCACCAGCUAGAGCUGAGUGCUGUCUGCACCCUGUGGAGCCAGUAGUUUGGGGGUGCAGCUCAGAGGCUGCAUGGAAAGAUUCUAUCAAGCCAAAGUGGCGUGCAAAUGAGAAGUCUGCUUUAAAAUUCAGCUCCAAUCUCAUUUGAAAUUUAAAAUAGUUCAUUUCUUUUUACUUAUAUGCAUAACUUUAAGUACCAGUUAAAACAAUAAAAAUUUAAAAAACCAAAUUGACCAAAAAUUCAAUAGGAUUUUUUGAAGAACAGAAAAAAGUGGUAUUUAUCCUCUGCUUGCUGUUUUCAAACAGGUAAAGCUUAGUGUGGUGGUAAAUUCCAAGGAGGUAAAGGCCAAAGGAUUGGGAGUCGUAAGGGCAGCCUUGGCUAUUUGAUGUCCUUUCUCAAGUCCUGCCCUCAUGAAGAAGUUUGUAGGGAAAAAAAAGUGUGCUUGAGGGAAUUAACUCUCCCCUAGCAAAGCCAGGUUCUAUGUGGCUGAGCUCUGUGCAGCAAACCCUAGGAGGAAGUGAGAAUUUCUCCAAAGUCUGGACCAAGUUUCCCUGCCUUCUGGAGGGUGGGCUGGGGAAUAGAGCUUGGCACUGGAGAAAGGUGGGAGGCCUAGCAGUGCUGACCUUUGAACUCCCUUGGAGUCAGAUCCCAUACCAGAACCACAGCCCAGGAGGCAUGACGUGUGCAUUGCUGUUUAAGAAUGGAAAGUCACCGGGUGAUAUCAGCAUUUGACAGUAGCCAGCUGCAUCACAUGGAGAGAGCCUCCUUCCAUCAGUGUUGGCCACCUGCAGUCUCCGACUCGUGACUGCAGGUACCCUGCAUAAGCACACAGCACUGCCGUCCGUCCAUCGGUCUCCAGGACCUGGACAAUGACAUUGGAAAUAGAGUUAGGGGCCUUCCACAUUUUUAACAUUUAGAUCAUUUUGUCACUGUCUUUGAUGUAGGUUUUUUUGUGGUAUUCUUGUUUGGUUGGUUGGGUUUGGGUUUUGUUUUGGAGAUAGAGUCUCACUGUAUAGUUUCCACUGUCUGGAAUUCAGAGAUCUACCUAUCUGUCUUCCAAGUGCUGGAAUUAAAGGAAUGGUUGCCUCGUGCCUGGCAUCUUUGAUGUUUUUGUCUUUAGUUUUAGGUGGUAAAAUGUCUUUUCAUAUAAUUAUGUUGUAAUGGAUUCCAGUUAAGCACCAGCGUUUUCGUCUGGACGUGGUGUCUCCAAAAGAACCUGCUGCAGCUCGUGACCUGGUGCAUCGGGUGUUGGCAUAUGGAAGAAUGGCUUCUCGGUCACUUUUCAGUAUAGGUUCAAAACUCCUGAGGGUUAGGCCAUCAGCUUUGAGUCCUUCCCAGUCACUCCUGGGUUUUUGAACGUACCUGCUGUCAAGACUUUACUGGGUCUGUCAGGAUUCACUGAAGUUGCCAUGUUGUGGUACUGACCAUUCUGUGUUCUCCUGGGUACUCUAUGGGCCACCAUGACGAGAACGCUUGCCUGCCAUGAGGUGUUCACUGCCUGCUUUAGAUGUUGUGAGGACCAGUUCUCAUGCCUUUUGCUGCAUUUCUCUGACCUUAUUCCUCCACUCUUCCUGGAUCCUACCAGGCACCUCUCCUCCUCAUACUUACUCAGUAUCUUAGGGUUUUACUGCUGUGAAGAGACAGCAUGACCAAGGCAACUCUUAGCAUCUCUUUGGGGCUGGCUGACAGGUUCAGAGGUUCAGUCCAUUAUCAAGGUGGGAACAUGUCAGCAUCUAGGCAGACAUGGUGCAGGAGGAACUGGGAGUCCUGUAUUUUCAUAUGAAGGCUGCUAGCAGAAGACUGGUUUCCAGGCAGCUAGGGUGAGGGUCUUAAAGCCCACACCCACAGUGACACACCUACUUCAACAGGGCCACACUUUGUAAUAGUGCACGCCAAACAUACAGACCACCACAUCAGGCUGUGGCUCUGAGCUGCAGGCCUGUGCUCACUGUGGCAUCAUCGUGAGUGCAGGCCCGGCAGUGUGCUGAGCUGUCAGUUUUCCCGCCAGUGAUAGAAACAGACGGCAGUGGACACCCGUGCUUUCACGUACUCCAGACACAGCACCUUUCCUGGAGCAGAGCUACGUGGCUCCCAGGUCUGCCCAUCUGCAUCUCCUCUGCCUGACCACUGGACACUCAUUUAAAAAAAAAAAUGCAGCCGGGCCCUCAAAGUGGGGAGGCUGGCUAUUGUAUGCUACUCAUCCAUCGACUGUUCAGUCCUGGGUGGGCCGCCCGUCCUUGGGCUCACUUCAUUUGAGGAUGCUUUUGGAAAAAGAAGCAUGAAAAGUGGAAGGGACUUUUGAGGGUGAAUAAAAAUUCUUAAAGCUCUUUGAGCUUGGACGGCAAGGGGUGGUUUAAAAUGCAUGUCGGAAUCUGGUGAAAGUUGUCCUGACUUCCACCAGCUCUGAACCUCAGGAUCAUGGGGUCUGUGCCUCCUUCUCCUCUGUUGCUACAAGGCUGAGUGACCUCCUCUCUGGCUUGUUUUCAUGUGUGUGCAUGCACACAUGCACAUGCGGUGCAUUCUCCUGUGUCUGCAUGUGUGUUGGUCAACACUGGCGUCUCCCUCUAACUAACACUUUACACUGUUUUCAGGUAGUGUCUCACUGAAUCAGGAACAUAGCAUUUCAGCUAGGCUAGCUGGCAAGCGUGUCCCCGGGAUGACCCUCUCUUCCCCCAGCCCACCCCUAGUUGGGAUUAUACAUAUGCAUCAUCACGACCAACUCUUACACGAGCGCUAGAGGUCCAACUCAGGUCCCCCUUCCUGCACUUUACCCACUGAGCCAUCCUCUCUUCCUGUAGCCUCCUUGGCUUUCUGUCAGUGAUGCUCAUCCUAGACCAACACUCCCAUCUGUAGCUGUCCUGCAGGGGACAGAGCAGACAUGUAUCAAAGCAGUUGUGUGUUGUGUUAGCGUGCCAUCUAGCCCACUGGCUUUAGGAGGGGCCUCAUGCAUGGGGAGUGAGGUGUGCUGUGUGCGCCCUGGAGUGAGGUGUCUGUGUGUGCCCUGGAAUGAGAUGUCUGUGUGUGUCCUGGAGUGAGGUGUCUGUGUGUGUCCUGGAGUGAGAUGUCUGUGUGUGUCCUGGAGUGAGGUGUCUGUGUGUGUCCUGGAGUGAGAUGUCUGUGUGUGUCCUGGAGUGAGGUGUCUGUGUGUGUCCUGGAGUGAGGUGUCUGUGUGUGUCCUGGAGUGAGGUGUGCUGUGUGUACUGGAGUGAGGUGUGCUGUGUGUGUCCUGGAGUGAGAUGUCUGUGUGUGUCCUGGAGUGAGAUGUCUGUGUGUGUCCUGGAGUGAGGUGUCUGUGUGUGUCCUGGAGUGAGGUGUCUGUGUGUGUCCUGGAGUGAGGUGUCUGUGUGUGUCCUGGAGUGAGGUGUCUGUGUGUGUCCUGGAGUGAGAUGUCUGUGUGUCCUGGAGUGAGGUGUCUGUGUGUGUCCUGGAGUGAGGUGUGCUGUGUGUGUCCUGUAGUGAGGUGUCUGUGUGUGUCCUGUAGUGAGGUGUCUGUGUGUGUCCUGGAGUGAGGUGUCUGUGUGUGUCCUGGAGUGAGGUGUCUGUGUGUGUCCUGGAGUGAGGUGUGCUGUGUGUACUGGAGUGAGGUGUGCUGUGUGUGUCCUGGAGUGAGGUGUCUGUGUGUGUCCUGGAGUGAGGUGUCUGUGUGUGUCCUGGAGUGAGGUGUCUGUGUGUGUCCUGGAGUGAGGUGUGCUGUGUGUACUGGAGUGAGGUGUGCUGUGUGUGUCCUGGAGUGAGGUGUCUGUGUGUGUCCUGGAGUGAGGUGUCUGUGUGUGUCCUGGAGUGAGGUGUCUGUGUGUGUCCUGUAGUGAGGUGUCUGUGUGUGUCCUGGAGUGAGGUGUCUGUGUGUGUCCUGGAGUGAGGUGUGCUGUGUGUACUGGAGUGAGGUGUGCUGUGUGUGUCCUGGAGUGAGGUGUCUGUGUGUGUCCUGGAGUGAGGUGUCUGUGUGUGUCCUGGAGUGAGGUGUCUGUGUGUGCCCUGGAGUGAGGUGUGCUGUGUGUGCCCUGGAGUGAGGUGUGCUGUGUGUGUCCUGGAGUGAGGUGUCUGUGUGUGCCCUGGAGUGAGGUGUCUGUGUGUGUCCUGGAGUGAGAUGUCUGUGUGUGUCCUGGAGUGAGGUGUCUGUGUGUGCCCUGGAGUGAGGUGUCUGUGUGUGUCCUGGAGUGAGGUGUCUGUGUGUGUCCUGGAGUGAGGUGUCUGUGUGUGUCCUGGAGUGAGGUGUCUGUGUGUGUCCUGGAGUGAGGUGUCUGUGUGUGCCCUGGAGUGAGGUGUCUGUGUGUGUCCUGGAGUGAGAUGUCUGUGUGUGUCCUGGAGUGAGAUGUCUGUGUGUGUCCUGGAGUGAGGUGUCUGUGUGUGUCCUGGAGUGAGGUGUCUGUGUGUGUCCUGUAGUGAGAUGUCUGUGUGUGUCCUGGAGUGAGGUGUCUGUGUGUGUCCUGGAGUGAGGUGUCUGUGUGUGUCCUGGAGUGAGGUGUGCUGUGUGUACUGGAGUGAGGUGUGCUGUGUGUGUCCUGGAGUGAGGUGUCUGUGUGUGUCCUGGAGUGAGGUGUCUGUGUGUGUCCUGGAGUGAGGUGUCUGUGUGUGUCCUGGAGUGAGGUGUCUGUGUGUGCCCUGGAGUGAGGUGUGCUGUGUGUGCCCUGGAGUGAGGUGUGCUGUGUGUGUCCUGGAGUGAGGUGUCUGUGUGUGCCCUGGAGUGAGGUGUGCUGUGUGUGUCCUGGAGUGAGAUGUCUGUGUGUGUCCUGGAGUGAGGUGUCUGUGUGUGUCCUGGAGUGAGGUGUCUGUGUGUGUCCUGGAGUGAGGUGUCUGUGUGUGUCCUGGAGUGAGGUGUCUGUGUGUGCCCUGGAGUGAGGUGUCUGUGUGUGUCCUGGAGUGAGGUGUCUGUGUGUGUCCUGGAGUGAGAUGUCUGUGUGUGUCCUGGAGUGAGAUGUCUGUGUGUGUCCUGGAGUGAGGUGUCUGUGUGUGUCCUGGAGUGAGGUGUCUGUGUGUGUCCUGGAGUGAGAUGUCUGUGUGUGUCCUGGAGUGAGGUGUCUGUGUGUGUCCUGGAGUGAGGUGUCUGUAUGUCCUGGAGUGAGGUGUCUGUGUGUGUCCUGGAGUGAGGUGUCUGUGUGUGUCCUGGAGUGAGGUGUCUGUGUGUGCCCUGGAGUGAGGUGUCUGUGUGUGUCCUGGAGUGAGGUGUGCUGUGUGUGCCCUGGAGUGAGGUAUCUGUGUGUGUCCUGGAGUGAGGUGUGCUGUGUGUGUCCUGGAGUGAGAUGUCUGUGUGUGCCCUGGAGUGAGGUGUCAGUGUGUGUGCCCUGGAGUGAGGUGUCUGUGUGUGUCCUGUCCUGGAGUGAGGUGUCUCUGUGUGUCCUGGAGUGAGGUGUC
This is a long non-coding RNA of Apodemus sylvaticus (European woodmouse), 6049 nucleotides long. RefSeq lists it as uncharacterized. NCBI's taxonomy places the organism in Eukaryota, Metazoa, Chordata, Mammalia, Rodentia, Muridae. The record is from RefSeq and is a predicted model, not a curated record. The transcript is spliced from 8 exons.